This 111-nucleotide ribosomal RNA is filed under the name Dipodomys ordii (Ord's kangaroo rat). The record is from RNAcentral. Lineage: Eukaryota; Metazoa; Chordata; Mammalia; Rodentia; Heteromyidae.
GUCUACGACCAUACUACGCUGAACGCGCCCAAUCUCGUCUGAUCUCGGAAGCUAAGCAGGGUCGGGCCUGGUUAGUACUUGGAUGGGAGAAAAGUCUAUGAGCCUCUUACC